GUCUAUGGCCCAACCACCCUGAACGCGCCCAGUCUCGUCCGAUCUCGGAAGCUAAGCAGGGUUGGGCCGGUUAGUACUUAGAUGGAACAAUUAGGAUUGGGGCCCCUGACU
RNAcentral lists this ribosomal RNA (111 nucleotides) under Octodon degus (degu). The record is from RNAcentral. Lineage: Eukaryota; Metazoa; Chordata; Mammalia; Rodentia; Octodontidae.